GAUGAACGCUGGCGGCGUGCCUAAUACAUGCAAGUCGAGCGAACGGACGAGAAGCUUGCUUCUCUGAUGUUAGCGGCGGACGGGUGAGUAACACGUGGAUAACCUACCUAUAAGACUGGGAUAACUUCGGGAAACCGGAACUAAUACCGGAUAAUAUUUUGAACCGCAUGGUUCAAAAGUGAAAGACGGUCUUGCUGUCACUUAUAGAUGGAUCCGCGCUGCAUUAGCUAGUUGGUAAGGUAACGGCUUACCAAGGCAACGAUGCAUAGCCGACCUGAGAGGGUGAUCGGCCACACUGGAACUGAGACACGGUCCAGACUCCUACGGGAGGCAGCAGUAGGGAAUCUUCCGCAACGGGCGAAAGCCUGACGGAGCAACGCCGCGUGAGUGAUGAAGGUCUUCGGAUCGUAAAACUCUGUUAUUAGGGAAGAACAUAUGUGUAAGUAACUGUGCACAUCUUGACGGUACCUAAUCAGAAAGCCACGGCUAACUACGUG
Molecule: ribosomal RNA, 497 nt
Filed under: uncultured bacterium
Lineage: Bacteria
Description: partial 16S ribosomal RNA
Rfam family: Bacterial small subunit ribosomal RNA
Source: RNAcentral